This 30-nucleotide non-coding RNA is filed under the name Rattus norvegicus (Norway rat). The record is from RNAcentral. Lineage: Eukaryota; Metazoa; Chordata; Mammalia; Rodentia; Muridae.
UAAACACCAUCUCUGUUCCAUCCUGGCAUU